RNAcentral lists this ribosomal RNA (318 nucleotides) under Patulibacter sp. Its description in RNAcentral is "bacterial SSU rRNA". It matches the Rfam family "Bacterial small subunit ribosomal RNA", at positions 947 to 1267 of the family's 1533-position model. Lineage: Bacteria; Bacillati; Actinomycetota; Thermoleophilia; Solirubrobacterales; Patulibacteraceae. The record is from RNAcentral.
AGCUYCAUUUUAACGCGAAARGCCUUACCUGGGCUUGACAUGUGCCUGAUCGGCGUGGAAACACGUCUUSCCUCACGGGCAGGUUCACAGGUGGUGCAUGGCUGUCGUCAGCUCGUGUCGUGAGAUGUUGGGUUAAGUCCCGCAACGAGCGCAACCCCCGUCGUAUGUUGCCAGCAUUUAGUUGGGGACUCAUGCGAGACUGCCGGUGGCAAACCGGAGGAAGGUGGGGAUGACGUCAAGUCAUCAUGCCCCUUAUGUYCAGGGCUACACACGUGCUACAUUGGCGUAUACAAAGGGUUGCGAUACCGCGAGGUGGAG